AAUUUGUACAACUAUGCAAUACCCCAACCACUCCAUUUCAAAAUGAACUUCGUACGAACCUGAAUUGUCCAAUUUGAUGGACCAAUUGAUAUCGGAUUGAGUCCAAAACUUGGGGAACAUCAUAAUAUGAUGGGAGGAGUCAUUUGGUGUCUUUUGACUGAAAUCCAGUGGCUAAAACUAUGCAAUACACGAACCACUCCAUUUCAU
Molecule: long non-coding RNA, 207 nt
Filed under: Prunus persica (peach)
Lineage: Eukaryota; Viridiplantae; Streptophyta; Magnoliopsida; Rosales; Rosaceae
Description: long non-coding RNA (PPER_LNC003370)
Source: RNAcentral